Molecule: long non-coding RNA, 280 nt
Filed under: Ricinus communis (castor bean)
Lineage: Eukaryota; Viridiplantae; Streptophyta; Magnoliopsida; Malpighiales; Euphorbiaceae
Description: long non-coding RNA (RCOM_LNC001448)
Source: RNAcentral
CUAGGGUACAAGAGCUGAAGUAAUCGAAAAAGUGCCCGAAGAAGGGGACAAAGGGUUGUUAGAGCAGCUGAGAAAAGAUAAGAAGAUGGCCAACAUAUAGGAGUUGCUGAUGCACUAAUUAGAUCACAGGAAAGGUCUAAUUCAGGCCUUGUCUAGCAUCAUCAUAAGUACAAUAGCUACCCAUGACGAAAUGAUUAAAACAUAACUAAUAAAACCAUCGGCAUGAUCACUUCCUCGGAUGAAGAAUUACCACUAAAGGGAAGAGACCACAAUAAGGCUC